UGCGUAGGCGGUUUGGCAAGUUGGUAGCGUAAUUCCGGGGCUCAACUUCGGAACUACUACCAAAACUGCCAGGCUUGAGUGCGGCAGGGGUAUGUGGAAUUCCUAGUGUAGCGGUGGAAUGCGUAGAUAUUAGGAGGAACACCAGAGGCGAAAGCGACAUACUGGGCCGUAACUGACGCUGAGGCACGAAAGCGUGGGGAGCAAACA
This 207-nucleotide ribosomal RNA is filed under the name uncultured bacterium. Its description in RNAcentral is "partial 16S ribosomal RNA". It matches the Rfam family "Bacterial small subunit ribosomal RNA", at positions 568 to 774 of the family's 1533-position model. The record is from RNAcentral.